This 253-nucleotide ribosomal RNA is filed under the name uncultured bacterium. Its description in RNAcentral is "partial 16S ribosomal RNA". It matches the Rfam family "Bacterial small subunit ribosomal RNA", at positions 524 to 776 of the family's 1533-position model. The record is from RNAcentral.
UACGUAGGGGGCUAGCGUUGUCCGGAUUUAUUGGGCGUAAAGAGCGUGUAGGCGGCCAGGUAGGUCUGCUGUGAAAACUCGAGGCUUAACCUCGAGCUGUCGGCGGAAACCAUCUGGCUAGAGUCCGGAAGAGGAGAAUGGAAUUCCCGGUGUAGCGGUGAAAUGCGCGGAUAUCGGGAAGAACACCCGUGGCGAAGGCGGUUCUCUGGGACGGUACUGACGCUGAGACGCGAAAGCGUGGGGAGCGAACAGG